This 788-nucleotide ribosomal RNA is filed under the name uncultured Lactobacillus sp. RNAcentral describes it as "bacterial SSU rRNA". It matches the Rfam family "Bacterial small subunit ribosomal RNA", at positions 28 to 776 of the family's 1533-position model. The record is from RNAcentral. Lineage: Bacteria; Bacillati; Bacillota; Bacilli; Lactobacillales; Lactobacillaceae.
GACGAACGCUGGCGGCGUGCCUAAUACAUGCAAGUCGAGCGAGCUUGCCUAGAUGAAUUUGGUGCUUGCACCAGAUGAAACUAGAUACAAGCGAGCGGCGGACGGGUGAGUAACACGUGGGUAACCUGCCCAAGAGACUGGGAUAACACCCGGAAACAGAUGCUAAUACCGGAUAACAACACUAGACGCAUGUCUAGAGUUUAAAAGAUGGUUCUGCUAUCACUCUUGGAUGGACCUGCGGUGCAUUAGCUAGUUGGUAAGGUAACGGCUUACCAAGGCAAUGAUGCAUAGCCGAGUUGAGAGACUGAUCGGCCACAUUGGGACUGAGACACGGCCCAAACUCCUACGGGAGGCAGCAGUAGGGAAUCUUCCACAAUGGACGCAAGUCUGAUGGAGCAACGCCGCGUGAGUGAAGAAGGGUUUCGGCUCGUAAAGCUCUGUUGGUAGUGAAGAAAGAUAGAGGUAGUAACUGGCCUUUAUUUGACGGUAAUUACUUAGAAAGUCACGGCUAACUACGUGCCAGCAGCCGCGGUAAUACGUAGGUGGCAAGCGUUGUCCGGAUUUAUUGGGCGUAAAGCGAGUGCAGGCGGUUCAAUAAGUCUGAUGUGAAAGCCUUCGGCUCAACCGGAGAAUUGCAUCAGAAACUGUUGAACUUGAGUGCAGAAGAGGAGAGUGGAACUCCAUGUGUAGCGGUGGAAUGCGUAGAUAUAUGGAAGAACACCAGUGGCGAAGGCGGCUCUCUGGUCUGCAACUGACGCUGAGGCUCGAAAGCAUGGGUAGCGAACAGG